GACGAACGCUGGCGGCGUGCUUAACACAUGCAAGUCGAACGGAAAGUCCCUGCUUUGGUGGGGUGCUCGGGUGGCGAACGGGUGAGUAACACGUGAGUAACCUGCCCUUGACUGUGGGAUAACUUAAGGAAACUGGGGCUAAUACCGGAUAGGAGCUCCUGCUGCAUGGUGGGGGUGGGACAGUUUCGGUGGUUGGGGAUGGACUCGCGGCGUAUCAGCUUGUUGGUUGGGUAGUGUCUUACCAAGGCUUUGACGGGUAGCCGGGCUGAGAGGGUGAGAGGCCACAUUGGGACUGAGCUACGGCCCAGACUACUACGGGAGGCAGCAGAGGGGAAGAGUGCCCAAUGGGCGGAAGCAUGAUGUAGCAACGCCGCGCGCGGGAAGACGGGCUGCGGGUAGUAAACCGCUUUCGUUUGUGCCGAAGCGUGAGUGACGGUAAUGGGUAAAGAAGCCCCGGCUAACUACGUG
Molecule: ribosomal RNA, 468 nt
Filed under: uncultured bacterium
Lineage: Bacteria
Description: partial 16S ribosomal RNA
Rfam family: Bacterial small subunit ribosomal RNA
Source: RNAcentral